AUCCUGCCGGAGAUUACUGCUAUUAGAAUUUGACUAAGCCNUGCGAGUCAGAGGUUUUUAUAAUACUGGCAAAAGGCUGAGUAACACGUAGUCAACUUGNNNUAAGUCAAGCAUACCCUUGGGAAACUGAGGUUAAUUCNUGAUAGGAAAUAUUUUCUGNNNGAUAUAUUUCUUAAAGUUACGACGCUUAAGGAUAGGACUGCGGUGGAUUAGGUUGUUGUUGGGGUAAAGGCCCAACAAGCCGAUAAUCUAUAGGGGCUGUGAGAGCAGUAGCCCUCAGAUGGAUUCUGAGACACGAAUCCAGACCCUACGGGGUGCAGCAGGCGCGAAACCUUCACAAUGCACAAUAUGUGUGAUGGGGAGAUUCUAAGUGGCAGCAUAACGCUGUCUUUUGAAGAGUUAAAACAUCUUUUCGAAUAAGUGGUGGGUAAGACGGUUGCCAGCCGCCGCGGUAAUAACCGCGCCACAAGUGGUAAUCUCGAUUAUUGGGUCUAAAGCAUCCGUAGCCGGUGAUAUAAGUUUCCUGUGAAAUCCAAAUGAAAACAUUUGGGCACGCAGAAAAUACUGUAUCACUUGAGACUGGGAGGAGCAAGAGGUACUCGAGGGGAAGGGGUAAAAUCUAUUAAUCCCUCGGGGGUCACCAGUGGCGAAGGCGUCUUGCUAGAACAGGUCUGACGGUGAGGGAUGAAAGCCAGGGGAGCGAAGAGGAUUAGAUACCCUUGUAGUCCUGGCUGUAAACGAUGUCCGUUAGGUAUUGUGAUUUUUAAGAGAAAUUAUAGUGCCGUAGGGAAGCCGUUAAACGGACCACCUGGGGAGUACGGUCGCAAGGCUGAAACUUAAAGGAAUUGGCGGG
RNAcentral lists this ribosomal RNA (853 nucleotides) under uncultured archaeon. Its description in RNAcentral is "bacterial SSU rRNA". It matches the Rfam family "Archaeal small subunit ribosomal RNA", at positions 11 to 872 of the family's 1478-position model. The record is from RNAcentral.